GGCGGCGUGCCUAAUACAUGCAAGUCGAGCGAACAGAUAAGGAGCUUGCUCCUUUGACGUUAGCGGCGGACGGGUGAGUAACACGUGGGUAACCUACCUAUAAGACUGGGAUAACUUCGGGAAACCGGAGCUAAUACCGGAUAACAUUUGGAACCGCAUGGUUCUAAAGUGAAAGAUGGUUUUGCUAUCACUUAUAGAUGGACCCGCGCCGUAUUAGCUAGUUGGUAAGGUAACGGCUUACCAAGGCAACGAUACGUAGCCGACCUGAGAGGGUGAUCGGCCACACUGGAACUGAGACACGGUCCAGACUCCUACGGGAGGCAGCAGUAGGGAAUCUUCCGCAAUGGGCGAAAGCCUGACGGAGCAACGCCGCGUGAGUGAUGAAGGGUUUCGGCUCGUAAAACUCUGUUAUUAGGGAAGAACAAAUGUGUAAGUAACUGUGCACAUCUUGACGGUACCUAAUCAGAAAGCCACGGCUAACUACGUGCCAGCAGCCGCGGUAAUACGUAGGUGGCAAGCGUUAUCCGGAAUUAUUGGGCGUAAAGCGCGCGUAGGCGGUUUCUUAAGUCUGAUGUGAAAGCCCACGGCUCAACCGUGGAGGGUCAUUGGAAACUGGGAAACUUGAGUGCAGAAGAGGAAAGUGGAAUUCCAUGUGUAGCGGUGAAAUGCGCAGAGAUAUGGAGGAACACCAGUGGCGAAGGCGACUUUCUGGUCUGUAACUGACGCUGAUGUGCGAAAGCGUGGGGAUCAAACAGGAUUAGAUACCCUGGUAGUCCACGCCGUAAACGAUGAGUGCUAAGUGUUAGGGGGUUUCCGCCCCUUAGUGCUGCAGCUAACGCAUUAAGCACUCCGCCUGGGGAGUACGACCGCAAGGUUGAAACUCAAAGGAAUUGACGGGGACCCGCACAAGCGGUGGAGCAUGUGGUUUAAUUCGAAGCAACGCGAAGAACCUUACCAAAUCUUGACAUCCUUUGAAAACUCUAGAGAUAGAGCCUUCCCCUUCGGGGGACAAAGUGACAGGUGGUGCAUGGUUGUCGUCAGCUCGUGUCGUGAGAUGUUGGGUUAAGUCCCGCAACGAGCGCAACCCUUAAGCUUAGUUGCCAUCAUUAAGUUGGGCACUCUAGGUUGACUGCCGGUGACAAACCGGAGGAAGGUGGGGAUGACGUCAAAUCAUCAUGCCCCUUAUGAUUUGGGCUACACACGUGCUACAAUGGACAAUACAAAGGGCAGCUAAACCGCGAGGUCAUGCAAAUCCCAUAAAGUUGUUCUCAGUUCGGAUUGUAGUCUGCAACUCGACUACAUGAAGCUGGAAUCGCUAGUAAUCGUAGAUCAGCAUGCUACGGUGAAUACGUUCCCGGGUCUUGUACACACCGCCCGUCACACCACGAGAGUUUGUAACACCCGAAGCCGGUGGAGUAACCAUUUAUGGAGCUAGCCGUCG
RNAcentral lists this ribosomal RNA (1441 nucleotides) under Staphylococcus sp. RNAcentral's name for it is "bacterial SSU rRNA". It matches the Rfam family "Bacterial small subunit ribosomal RNA". Lineage: Bacteria; Bacillati; Bacillota; Bacilli; Caryophanales; Staphylococcaceae. The record is from RNAcentral.